CCCUUAGAUGUUCUGGGCCGCACGCGUGCUACACUGAGUGGAUCAGCGGGUCAGGUUGCGCGAAAGUGUUUCCUAAUCUUGAAAUCCGCUCGUGAUGGGGAUUGACGGUUGCAAUUUUCCGUCAUGAACGAGGAAUACCUUGUAAGCGCGGGUCAUCAUCCCGCGCUGAAUACGUCCCUGCCCUUUGCACACACCGCCCAUCGCUCCUACCGAUUGAGUGGUCCGGUGAGGCUUUGGGAUCUGAGCGGAAAGAGCGUUUCGCUGUUUCUGCUCGGAAAACUCAGUCGAACCUUAUCAUUUAGAGGAAGGAGAAGUCGUAACA
Molecule: ribosomal RNA, 322 nt
Filed under: uncultured eukaryote
Lineage: Eukaryota
Description: partial 18S ribosomal RNA
Rfam family: Eukaryotic small subunit ribosomal RNA
Source: RNAcentral